RNAcentral lists this ribosomal RNA (755 nucleotides) under uncultured bacterium. RNAcentral describes it as "bacterial SSU rRNA". It matches the Rfam family "Bacterial small subunit ribosomal RNA", at positions 1 to 732 of the family's 1533-position model. The record is from RNAcentral.
UCGAUUGAGUUUGAUCCUGGCUCAGGACGAACGUUGGCGGUGCGCUUUAUACAUGCAAGUCGUGCGCGAAAGGGCCCUUCGGGGCCCGAGUAGAGCGGCGAACGGGUGCGUAACACGUGAGCAACCUGCCCUGGAGUUGGGAAUAACUCCGAGAAAUCGGGGCUAAUACCGCAUGAUGCCUGGGAUCCUCAUGGACCCCUCGUUAAAGCCGGCCUCUGCUUGCAAGCUGGUGCUCCGGGAUGGGCUCGCGGCCUAUUAGCUAGUUGGUGAGGUAACGGCUCACCAAGGCUACGAUGGGUAGGGGGCGUGAGAGCGUGGCCCCCCACAUUGGGACUGAGAUACGGCCCAGACUCUUACGGGAGGCAGCAGUAAGGAAUCUUGCGCAAUGGGCGAAAGCCUGACGCGGCGACACCGCGUGAGGGAUGAAGGCCUUCGGGUUGUAAACCUCUGUCAGGGGGAAAGAAACUCCGGUUGGCGAAUAACCGAUCGGACUGACGGUACCCCCAAAGGAAGCGCCGGCUAACUCCGUGCCAGCAGCCGCGGUAAGACGGAGGGCGCAAACGUUGUUCGGAAUCACUGGGCGUAAAGGGCGCGUAGGCGGAUCGGUAAGUCAGAGGUGAAAGCCUGGGGCUCAACUCCAGGACUGCCUUUGAAACUGCCGUUCUAGAGUUCAGGAGAGGAAGGCGGAAUUCCAGGUGUAGCGGUGGAAUGCGUAGAUAUCUGGAAGAACACCAGUGGCGAAGGCGGCCUUAUGG